This 381-nucleotide long non-coding RNA is filed under the name Nicotiana benthamiana. RNAcentral's name for it is "long non-coding RNA (NBEN_LNC003604)". The record is from RNAcentral. Lineage: Eukaryota; Viridiplantae; Streptophyta; Magnoliopsida; Solanales; Solanaceae.
GUCUCUCUUAGCCUCAACCUAGAACACAUCGUCCUCACCAUCGAUGGACUCUUUCGGCUAGCUCUGGUGACAGACGGUAACUGUUGGCAAUUGACGACCAGUUUCGGCUAACUUACGAGCAAUAUCUGAGGUAUGCUAUCAAUUUUUUCCGUGUUUGACGUUUGUAUAACUAUUCCAUUUUUUCUUUCUUUUUUCCCACAUGUUUUCUUUAAUUUGGUGUUUGAAUUUUUUCUCCUUAAGAAUAGGAGCGCUUUUGGCCUCAGCUGCAUCGUUAUUUCGACUCCAAUGGCAUUGUUGUUGUUGUUAUUUGAAGGUCUUUGAUUCUGCUUUGUUUGUAUUACAUUUACAUUUGUGAUUCUAGUUUGAAAAAUUGGGGGAUUU